This 408-nucleotide ribosomal RNA is filed under the name Thalassospira sp. RNAcentral's name for it is "bacterial SSU rRNA". It matches the Rfam family "Bacterial small subunit ribosomal RNA", at positions 505 to 916 of the family's 1533-position model. Lineage: Bacteria; Pseudomonadati; Pseudomonadota; Alphaproteobacteria; Rhodospirillales; Thalassospiraceae. The record is from RNAcentral.
GUGCCAGCAGCCGCGGUAAUACGAAAGGGGCAAGCGUUGUUCGGAUUUACUGGGCGUAAAGGGCACGCAGGCGGUCUUGCCAGUCAGGGGUGAAAGCCCGGGGCUCAACCCCGGAACUGCCUCUGAUACUGCAGGACUAGAGACUAGGAGAGGGUGGUGGAAUUCCCAGUGUAGAGGUGAAAUUCGUAGAUAUUGGGAGGAACACCAGAGGCGAAGGCGGCCACCUGGACUAGAUCUGACGCUCAGGUGCGAAAGCGUGGGGAGCAAACAGGAUUAGAUACCCUGGUAGUCCACGCCGUAACGAUGAGUGCUAGUUGUCGGGAUUUCGAUUUCGGUGACGCAGCUAACGCAUUAAGCACUCCGCCUGGGGAGUACGGUCGCAAGAUUAAAACUCAAAGGAAUUGACGG